GGACAAGCGGUGACUCGCUCUAUUGGCUAGAGAAUGAGCCGCUUGGUUGUCGUUUCUCUUCACAAGAGAAUGAUAGAGAAGUGAUACUUGAACUAAUACCUUGAAUACUCAAAGGGGAAAAACACCCACGAAGGGCCUUGAAAACGAUCUUUGAGUUUUAUCAAGUAACACAGCUUCCAACAAGCAAGGCUUUUGAAAAUUAGUAUGUCAGCGUGUAGAGUGAGUUAGUUGCAGCUUUGUAUUUUUUGUAUGCUGGAGUU
RNAcentral lists this unclassified non-coding RNA (260 nucleotides) under Hevea brasiliensis (rubber tree). The record is from RNAcentral. Lineage: Eukaryota; Viridiplantae; Streptophyta; Magnoliopsida; Malpighiales; Euphorbiaceae.